RNAcentral lists this ribosomal RNA (639 nucleotides) under uncultured Actinomycetes bacterium. Its description in RNAcentral is "bacterial SSU rRNA". It matches the Rfam family "Bacterial small subunit ribosomal RNA", at positions 232 to 885 of the family's 1533-position model. Lineage: Bacteria; Bacillati; Actinomycetota; Actinomycetes. The record is from RNAcentral.
CGCGGCCUAUCAGCUUGUUGGUGAGGUAACGGCUCACCAAGGCAUUGACGGGUAGCUGGUCUGAGAGGAUGAUCAGCCACACUGGGACUGAGACACGGCCCAGACUCCUACGAGAGGCAGCAGUAGGGAAUAUUGCACAAUGGGCGAAAGCCUGAUGCAGCAACGCCGCGUGCGGGAAGAAGGCCCUAGGGUUGUAAACCGCUUUCAGCAGGGAAGAAAAUGACGGUACCUGCAGAAGAAGGUGCGGCCAACUACGUGCCAGCAGCCGCGGUGACACGUAGGCACCAAGCGUUGUCCGGAUUUAUUGGGCGUAAAGAGCUCGUAGGCGGUUCAGUUAGUCGGGUGUGAAAACUCUGGGCUCAACCCAGAGACGCCACUCGAUACUGCUGUGACUAGAGUGCGGUAGGGGAGCGGGGAAUUCCUAGUGUAGCGGUGAAAUGCGCAGAUAUUAGGAGGAACACCAGUGGCGAAGGCGCCGCUCUGGGCCGUAACUGACGCUGAGGAGCGAAAGCGUGGGUAGCAAACAGGAUUAGAUACCCUGGUAGUCCACGCCGUAAACGUUGGGCACUAGGUGUGGGUCUCAACCAACGAGAUCCGCGCCGUCGCUAACGCAUUAAGUGCCCCGCCUGGGGAGUACGG